Molecule: long non-coding RNA, 1544 nt
Organism: Vidua macroura (Pin-tailed whydah)
Lineage: Eukaryota; Metazoa; Chordata; Aves; Passeriformes; Viduidae
Exons: 8
Source: RefSeq, a predicted model, not a curated record
UCCCCUCACGGAGGAGCCGCCAUGUUGGCAGUGUCCGAUGCUGCCUCGAAAGAGCAGCCGCAGUCCGGCCCUGUGGGCAAGCAGCCCUAUGCGUCCCCCUAAAACCCUGUCAAAGUGUUCCCCUGGAGCUCAGACGGUCCACGUAGUGCUGUGUAUCCCCCAAGAACCUCCAGACGGUACCAAGGUCGGACCAUCUGCGGAUUUUACAAGUUCCAUGGAAUGUUUUCAGACCGCACUCUUAACCUCAGACACUCCUAUCGGAUUUCAUAGGAUUCAGCCACUAUCUAGCCCCAGGGUGCUGUAGGUGCUAAAUAGAUUAUCUACAUCUCUCAGCCACUAUGGAACAACUACACAGCAAAGCUCAGUUUUUAAUCCUGCUGAGACUCCGACUGCUUUUGGCCAUCAGGUAUCCCACGGCUUCAGGAGAGGAAAUGUUAAUCUGGAAUGCUGGCCAAACUCCAGUUUAGCAACAAUUCUUUAAGUUCUGAGAGAUGAAGACAGUGGUGACAAAUAAACCAUGAGAUUCUGGAUGUAUACAAACACAUGUGGCUUUCCCUCCUUCCCAGAUCACUGUCACCCAAAGGCUGUUACCAGUACUAGGCGGGGAGCAGGAGAACAGCAGAAGUAAAAUGGGUGAAGUGAUGCUACAAUGGAGAUCAACAGGAGGUUUUGGCCACCAAACUUGCAUUUCAGCUGAUAUGGUUUAAUCAAGAAAGAAAAUCACCUAGCUAAGCCUCCUCACUAAAAGGCUGGAAGCCAGAAGCCCCAGCAGGAAUUACAGCCAGAAAGAGAGGUGAACUGUGAAAUGAAAGCUGUGAGAGAAAGAAUUGCUUGUGCUUUUGUUUGAAAUUUUCAGAGUUUUUUGAUUUUUGGUUGGAAGAAAUCUCAAGAUUGGCAAACCAAGAGCCAGGACUCAAUGAAAGUCUGGGACAGGACCACAGCAGAUGAGAGCAGUGGCACUCAAGGCAUUUCCUCUCCUCUGUGCCCAGGUGCUUGGAAAGGAGAAGCAACUGCAGGUCAUGGACAAGACCUGGAAAAGAGCCACCUGUGACAAGAGAGGGAAAUUGCUGAAGGACUCUGAGGAACAGAGGCACAGAGGCACAGCAGCAAUUGCCAAGGCAAUUUCUGAGGCACAGCAAUCAGCUCCAGGUGGCAGCUUGGGCACAGAUAAUCCGGUGGAGCACAGUGACAGAAUUCGUGGAGAUUACAAAAGCUGGAAACAUUUCUAUGGAACAUCCAGGUCUGGUCAGACAGACAGGGAAGAUCAAAGCCAGCAAGGAGCGUCUCCUGUCCAUCACCUGCAGCUCCUGGGGUACCUGGAGGGGGAAAAUUUCAUCUUUCCCACUCGAUUUUAAUCAGCUCAUCAGCAAUGGGCACUGACAGCACACCAGCUAAGAGGUUUAUGUCUGUUAUUCCCUAAAGAUUAGCCUUUGGAAUCCAAGAGAGGGAAGUGGCUGCUCACUGGAGAUUCCCUGCAAAACUGUUUCCCCAAAAUGCCCUACUGCUCCUCCAUUAUUUAUUUGCACAACCCAGGGACUUCCUGC